GGAGGGUUGGCAGAAUGGUAAUGCGCUGGUCCCGAAAACCAGUGGGGGAAACCCCUUGCAGGUUCGAGUCCUGCACCCUCCGCCA
This 85-nucleotide transfer RNA is filed under the name Patescibacteria group bacterium. RNAcentral's name for it is "tRNA-Ser". It matches the Rfam family "tRNA". From Rfam's summary of the family: Transfer RNA (tRNA) molecules are approximately 80 nucleotides in length. Their secondary structure includes four short double-helical elements and three loops (D, anti-codon, and T loops). Further hydrogen bonds mediate the characteristic L-shaped molecular structure. tRNAs have two regions of fundamental functional importance: the anti-codon, which is responsible for specific mRNA codon recognition, and the 3' end, to which the tRNAs corresponding amino acid is attached (by aminoacyl-tRNA synthetases). tRNAs cope with the degeneracy of the genetic code in two manners: having more than one tRNA (with a specific anti-codon) for a particular amino acid; and 'wobble' base-pairing, i.e. permitting non-standard base-pairing at the 3rd anti-codon position. The record is from RNAcentral. RNAcentral also lists the same sequence under 1 other name.